AACGAACGCUGGCGGCAGGCUUAACACAUGCAAGUCGAGCGGGCGCUCCUUCAAGCAAGCUUGAAGAUGAUUUUGGAAUCAUCAAGCAAGCAGGCUUGCUUGAUGGGCGUCAGCGGCGGACGGGUGAGUAACGCGUGGGAACGUGCCCUCUUCUUCGGAACAGCCUCGGGAAACUGAGAUUAAUGCCGGAUACCGCCCCUCAUAGCGAUAGUGGGGGGGAAANUUUAUCGGAGGAGGAUCGGCCCGCGUCGGAUUAGGUAGUUGGUGGGGUAACGGCCCACCAAGCCGACGAUCCGUAGCUGGUUUGAGAGGAUGAUCAGCCACACU
Molecule: ribosomal RNA, 327 nt
Filed under: uncultured bacterium
Lineage: Bacteria
Description: partial 16S ribosomal RNA
Rfam family: Bacterial small subunit ribosomal RNA
Source: RNAcentral